Molecule: transfer RNA, 73 nt
Filed under: Laccaria bicolor S238N-H82
Lineage: Eukaryota; Fungi; Basidiomycota; Agaricomycetes; Agaricales; Hydnangiaceae
Description: tRNA-Val (CAC) (tRNA-Val-CAC-2-1)
Source: RNAcentral
GGUUUAAUGGCCUGGUGGCUAUAAUUUCUGUCUCACACACAGAAGGUCUCCAGUUCAAUCCUGGAUUAAACCU